Mytilus trossulus (common blue mussel) is the source of this 636-nucleotide long non-coding RNA. RefSeq lists it as uncharacterized. The record is from RefSeq and is a predicted model, not a curated record. Lineage: Eukaryota; Metazoa; Mollusca; Bivalvia; Mytilida; Mytilidae. The transcript has 3 exons.
AAAACUGUGAAUGGAUGGACAAAAACAUAAUAAAUAGAAGGAGGAAAUGCUUGUAAUCAAACCGUCUGGAGAAAAAACAUAUCAGAGAGGAAAUUUAGCCAUUCAAGACAAAUGGAGCUCCAAAGACACAAUAUAGAAAACAGAAGACUUGGCAACACAAACUUUAACAAAAAGCGGGGAUGAUCACAGAUGAUCCUGAAGGACAAAAUAUGAUUGCUGUACAGAAAAGUCUUACCUACAGGGACUAUAUAGCCAUCUUGAUCUGUUUCACUGCAGAUAAGUGGUUAAUAUCAAUUGGUAAUAAAGGUUAAGAAGACAUAUGCCAAUUUCAUACAUUUGGUUUAUACAGAUAAUAAAUUCUUAAGAAAGUAUCAUAUAGCAGAAGCUUUUCUUCGAAGACGAUUUGUUAAUAUUGAGAAUCACCGCAUAUAGUACACAAUCAUCCAUAUUUGAUUUCCAACAAUAUGGAACGAAAUGAUUCAUAAUGUAUUCUUAGUAAAGAUUGUGUUUAAAUUGUUUUUGACACUGAAUAUAAGUCUAUUUAACCUUUUCUAAUUGUUUAAGAUAUGUGUACAUAAGUAAACAAAAUUAUAUAUAUUUUUUUGGCAUAAUUCAUUAAAACAAUUUAACUUGAAA